GACGAACGCUGGCGGCGUGCUUAACACAUGCAAGUCGAGCGGUAAGGCCCUUUCGGGGGUACGACGAGCGGCGAACGGGUGAGUAACACGUGGGUGGACCUCGCCCUCCAGCUCUGGGAGUAAGCCUGGGAAACCGGGGUACUAAUACCGGAUAUGACUCCAUGACGCAUGUUGUGGGGUGGAAAGCCUUGUGCGGCUGAGGA
RNAcentral lists this ribosomal RNA (203 nucleotides) under uncultured bacterium. RNAcentral describes it as "partial 16S ribosomal RNA". It matches the Rfam family "Bacterial small subunit ribosomal RNA", at positions 28 to 225 of the family's 1533-position model. The record is from RNAcentral.